This 86-nucleotide transfer RNA is filed under the name Candidatus Woesearchaeota archaeon. Its description in RNAcentral is "tRNA-Leu". It matches the Rfam family "tRNA". Rfam says of the family: Transfer RNA (tRNA) molecules are approximately 80 nucleotides in length. Their secondary structure includes four short double-helical elements and three loops (D, anti-codon, and T loops). Further hydrogen bonds mediate the characteristic L-shaped molecular structure. tRNAs have two regions of fundamental functional importance: the anti-codon, which is responsible for specific mRNA codon recognition, and the 3' end, to which the tRNAs corresponding amino acid is attached (by aminoacyl-tRNA synthetases). tRNAs cope with the degeneracy of the genetic code in two manners: having more than one tRNA (with a specific anti-codon) for a particular amino acid; and 'wobble' base-pairing, i.e. permitting non-standard base-pairing at the 3rd anti-codon position. The record is from RNAcentral. Lineage: Archaea; Nanobdellati; Candidatus Woesearchaeota.
GCGGAGGUAGCAAAGUCUGGCCAAAUGCGAUAGACUCAAGAUCUAUUCCCUUAGUGGGUUCGCAGGUUCGAAUCCUGCCCUCCGCA